This 73-nucleotide transfer RNA is filed under the name Bos taurus (domestic cattle). It matches the Rfam family "tRNA". Rfam says of the family: Transfer RNA (tRNA) molecules are approximately 80 nucleotides in length. Their secondary structure includes four short double-helical elements and three loops (D, anti-codon, and T loops). Further hydrogen bonds mediate the characteristic L-shaped molecular structure. tRNAs have two regions of fundamental functional importance: the anti-codon, which is responsible for specific mRNA codon recognition, and the 3' end, to which the tRNAs corresponding amino acid is attached (by aminoacyl-tRNA synthetases). tRNAs cope with the degeneracy of the genetic code in two manners: having more than one tRNA (with a specific anti-codon) for a particular amino acid; and 'wobble' base-pairing, i.e. permitting non-standard base-pairing at the 3rd anti-codon position. Lineage: Eukaryota; Metazoa; Chordata; Mammalia; Artiodactyla; Bovidae. The record is from Rfam by way of RNAcentral. RNAcentral also lists the same sequence under 3 other names.
UCCCUGGUGGUCUAGUGGUUAGGACUCUGCAUUUUCACUGAUGAGGACACAGGUUCAAUCCCUGGUCGGGGAA